This 1214-nucleotide long non-coding RNA is filed under the name Homo sapiens (human). RNAcentral's name for it is "HSALNT0331519". The record is from RNAcentral. Lineage: Eukaryota; Metazoa; Chordata; Mammalia; Primates; Hominidae.
AGAAGUCUACCUGUGCCUGCGCCCGCCGGACCUGCCGGCCUCUUCCUUCUCAUCCAGGGGGCCUCUUCUCCAGCCUCACGGAGGUGGGAAGCUUGCUGGAGGCCCCUACCUGCCUUUUGGGGAAGACCCCGAGGCUGGCCCACGCCCUGCUGGCAGGACCCUUCCUGACUGGGUCCACCGUUCUUCUGGGUCUCACCACUUCUCCCAGCCCCUGGGCUGCUUCCUCUCUCCCGUGUCUGGGACCCCAGAGGCACCACUUCCAUUCCAUACAAGGUAAGAGUCCCAAGGAGAGGCCGGGCACGGUGGCUCACGCCUGUAAUCCCAGCACUUUGGGAGGCCGAGGCGGGCGGAUCACGAGGUCAGGAGAUCGAGACCAUCCUGGCUAACACGGUGAAACCCCGUCUCUACUAAAAAUACAAAAAAUUAGGGCGUGGUGGCGGGCGCCUGUAGUCCCAGCUACUCGGGAGGCUGAGGCAGGAGAAUGGCGUGAACCCGGGAGGCGGAGCUUGCAGUGAGCCGAGAUGGCGCCACUGCACUCCAGCCUGGGCGACAGAGAGAGACUCCGUCUCAAAAAAAAAAAAAAAAAAGUCCCAAGGAGAAAUUGGAGAGGCUCUCCUAUGAAAAUCCAUCUCACCAUUCCUUUUCUGAGGAGUCCACAGGACCUGUACAGUUGGAACCAGCCCCUCAGGCUUCCCUGCCAGAGCCCUUUUCUCCAGGAGCAGAGGCAUCCAUCCCCUCCUGCCAGCAUUCCAGACCCUGGAGGGCUUGCGCGGUGGCAGGUUUUCCCUUGAAUGCUGAGGCGAGGCUGAGGGAAAGCUUGCAGAGUCAAGACGAACUCUAACUCAUGGGAUGGACAAACUGGAAGAUGUAAAAUAAGUAAGGCUUUCUGGGCCAAAAAGCCUCUUCUUACAGAAAAUCAAAUUUUAAAAGAACAUUGACCUCAAAACAAUAAAACUGUCCUGGUUAUGCAAUAGAAAUAGCUAUAUAAAUGGAAUCAUAUCCUUAAUGAACACCUCCUGUGGCUACCCAACUUUUCACACAUCUUACUGAUUAUAGGCCUUGCUGUGAAUGCUUUCUUGCUCUAUCUGAAGUAUUCCCACCAGAGUUGUUUCCAACUUUAUUUCCUAUAUUAUGAAAAAUGAAGUUUUUUUAACAUUGUAACAAAGUAUAUGAAAGAUAAUGUAUACUGUAUUAAAUAAACCAUUAUACAAAAA